Molecule: RNA transcript, 710 nt
Organism: Galeopterus variegatus (Sunda flying lemur)
Lineage: Eukaryota; Metazoa; Chordata; Mammalia; Dermoptera; Cynocephalidae
Gene name: U1 small nuclear ribonucleoprotein C pseudogene
Exons: 1
Source: RefSeq, a predicted model, not a curated record
GUGGACAACGGCCUGCACAGCCACAUGCCCAAGUUUUAUCGUGACUUCUGCAAUACAUACUCACCCAUGACUCUCCAUCUGUGAGAAAGACACGCUGCAGUGGUAGGAAACACAAAGAGAAGGUGAAAGCCUGCGAUCAGAAAUGGAUGGAAGAGCAGGCUCAGAGCCUGAUGGACAAAACAACAGCUGCAUUUCAACAAGGAAAGAUACCGCCUACUCCAUCCUCUGCAGCUCCUCCUGUAGGGGCAAUGAUCCCACCUCCUCCCAGUCUCCCGGGUCCUCCUUGCCCUGGUAUGAUGCCAGCACCCCAUAUGGGGGGCCCUCCCAUGAUGCUAAUGAUGGGCCCUUCUCCUCCUGGGAUAAUGCCAGUGGGAGCUGCUCCUGGAAUGAGCCCAUCCUAUGGGAGGCCACAUGCCAAUGAUGCCUGGUCCUCCAAUGAUGAGACCUCCUGCCCGUCCCAUGAUGGUGCCCACUUGGUCAGGAAUGACACGACUGGACAGAUAAGAAUAGAGAGGAGGCUUCUUUAUAUCAGUUUUGUAUUACUUGUACUUCAUCAGAGAUCAUGGUGCUGUGACUCUGGGUGUUUUCUAACAGCAUGACGCGAAAGAUUUGUUCCUCUUUCCUAGUAAAGAGAGAAUAGUUUUGGAGGGGAGAACUGGGACCAAAAAAGUGCAGUUUUCAUUUGUAUUGUGAAAUGUGAAAAUAAAAUU